GACGAACGCUGGCGGCGUGCUUAACACAUGCAAGUCGAACGGUAAGGCCCUUCGGGGUACACGAGUGGCGAACGGGUGAGUAACACGUGGGUGAUCUGCCCUGCACUUCGGGAUAAGCCUGGGAAACUGGGUCUAAUACCGGAUAGGACUCCGGACUGCAUGGUCUGGGGUGGAAAGCUUUUGCGGUGUGGGAUGGGCCCGCGGCCUAUCAGGUUGUUGGUGGGGUGCUGGCCUACCAAGGCGACGACGGGUAGCCGGCAUGGGAGGGUGGGCGGCCACACUGGGACUGAGAUACGGCGCAGACUCCUGAGGGAGGCAGCAGUGGGGAAUAUUGCACAAUGGGCGCAAGACUGAUGCAGCGAGUCCGCGUGAGGGAUGACGGCCUUUGGGUUGUAAACCUCUUUCAGCAUCGACGAAGCGAAAGUGACGGUAGGUGCAGAAGAAGGACCGGCCAACUACGUGCCAGCCGCCGCGGUAA
RNAcentral lists this ribosomal RNA (478 nucleotides) under uncultured bacterium. RNAcentral describes it as "partial 16S ribosomal RNA". It matches the Rfam family "Bacterial small subunit ribosomal RNA", at positions 28 to 523 of the family's 1533-position model. The record is from RNAcentral.